AGGGAAUCUUCGGCAAUGGACGGAAGUCUGACCGAGCAACGCCGCGUGAGUGAGGAAGGUUUUCGGAUCGUAAAGCUCUGUUGCCAGGGAAGAAGGGUGAGGAGAGUAACUGCUCUUUACUUGACGGUACCUGAGAAGAAAGCCCCGGCUAACUACGUGCCAGCAGCCGCGGUAAUACGUAGGGGGCAAGCGUUGUCCGGAAUUAUUGGGCGUAAAGCGCGCGCAGGCGGUACAUUAAGUCUGGUGUUUAAGCCCAGGGCUCAACCUUGGGACGCACUGGAAACUGGUGAACUAGAGUGCAGAAGAGGAAAGUGGAAUUCCACGUGUAGCGGUGAAAUGCGUAGAGAUGUGGAGGAACACCAGUGGCGAAGGCGACUUUCUGGUCUGUAACUGACGCUGAGGCGCGAAAGCGUGGGGAGCAAAC
This 424-nucleotide ribosomal RNA is filed under the name uncultured bacterium. RNAcentral describes it as "bacterial SSU rRNA". It matches the Rfam family "Bacterial small subunit ribosomal RNA", at positions 356 to 773 of the family's 1533-position model. The record is from RNAcentral.